Molecule: ribosomal RNA, 421 nt
Filed under: uncultured bacterium
Lineage: Bacteria
Description: partial 16S ribosomal RNA
Rfam family: Bacterial small subunit ribosomal RNA
Source: RNAcentral
GAUAUAUGACAAAGGGCGAAAGCCUGAUCCAGCCAUGCCUCGCGUGUGAAGAAGGUCUUCGUAUUUUUAAGCACUCUAUGUUGGGAGGAAGGGCAGUAAGUUACUACCUUGCUGUCUUGACGUUACUGACAGAAUAAGCACCGGCUAACUUCGUGCCAGCAGCCGUGGUAAUGCGGAGGGUGCGAGCGUUAAUCGGAAUUACUGGGCGUAAAGCGCGCGUAGGUGGUUUGUUAAGUUGGAAGUGAAAGCCCCGGGCUCAACCUGGGAACUGCUUUCAAAACUGGCAAGCUAGAGUAUGGCAGAGGGUGGUGGAAUUUACUGUGUAGCGGUGAAAUGCGUAGAUAUAGGAAGGAACACCAGUGGCGAAGGCGACCACCUGGGCUAAUACUGACACUGAGGUGCGAAAGCGUGGGGAGCAAAC